CGUAGGGGAUCAGAUUCUUAAGGAAUUGACGGGGGGGCCGCACAAGCGGUGGAUGAUGUGGUUUAAUUCGAUGCAACGCGAAAAACCUUACCCACCUUUGACAUGGCAGGAAUUCCGAAGAGAUUUGGAAGUGCUCGAAAGAGAACCUGCACACAGGUGCUGCAUGGCUGUCGUCAGCUCGUGUCGUGAGAUGUUGGGUUAAGUCCCGCAACGAGCGCAACCCUUGCCAUUAGUUGCUACGAAAGGGCACUCUAAUGGGACUGCCGGUGACAAACCGGAGGAAGGUGGGGAUGACGUCAAGUCCUCAUGGCCCUUAUAGGUGGGGCUACAUACGUCAUACAAUGGCCGGUACAAAGGGUAGCCAACCCGCGAGGGGGAGCCAAUCCCGUAAAGCCGGUCGUAGUCCGGAUCGCAGUCUGCAACUCGACUGCGUGAAGUCGGAAUCGCUAGUAAUCGUGGAUCAGCAUGUCACGGUGAAUACGUUCCCGCGCCUUGUACACACCGCCCGAAUCU
RNAcentral lists this ribosomal RNA (513 nucleotides) under uncultured Acidovorax sp. Its description in RNAcentral is "bacterial SSU rRNA". It matches the Rfam family "Bacterial small subunit ribosomal RNA", at positions 887 to 1401 of the family's 1533-position model. The record is from RNAcentral. Lineage: Bacteria; Pseudomonadati; Pseudomonadota; Betaproteobacteria; Burkholderiales; Comamonadaceae.